UGGAGAGUUUGAUCCUGGCUCAGAUUGAACGCUGGCGGCAGGCCUAACACAUGCAAGUCGAACGGUAACAGRGAGCAGCUUGCUGCUCUGCUGACGAGUGGCGGACGGGUGAGUAAUGUCUGGGAAACUGCCUGAUGGAGGGGGAUAACUACUGGAAACGGUAGCUAAUACCGCAUAACGUCUACGGACCAAAGUGGGGGACCUUCGGGCCUCAUGCCAUCAGAUGUGCCCAGAUGGGAUUAGCUAGUAGGUGGGGUAACGGCUCACCUAGGCGACGAUCCCUAGCUGGUCUGAGAGGAUGACCAGCCACACUGGAACUGAGACACGGUCCAGACUCCUACGGGAGGCAGCAGUGGGGAAUAUUGCACAAUGGGCGCAAGCCUGAUGCAGCCAUGCCGCGUGUAUGAAGAAGGCCUUCGGGUUGUAAAGUACUUUCAGCGGGGAGGAAGGUGUUGUGGUUAAUAACCRCAGCRAUUGACGUUACCCGCAGAAGAAGCACCGGCUAACUCCGUGCCAGCAGCCGCGGUA
This 528-nucleotide ribosomal RNA is filed under the name Cronobacter sakazakii. Its description in RNAcentral is "bacterial SSU rRNA". It matches the Rfam family "Bacterial small subunit ribosomal RNA", at positions 1 to 522 of the family's 1533-position model. Lineage: Bacteria; Pseudomonadati; Pseudomonadota; Gammaproteobacteria; Enterobacterales; Enterobacteriaceae. The record is from RNAcentral.